Molecule: long non-coding RNA, 334 nt
Filed under: Bos taurus (domestic cattle)
Lineage: Eukaryota; Metazoa; Chordata; Mammalia; Artiodactyla; Bovidae
Description: long non-coding RNA NONBTAT009753
Source: RNAcentral
GUUAAAUGAACGCUUCGUCUCGAGAAUUCAGUGAUGCUCACUCCUUCAUCCCCAGAGCCCCCACUUUAGGUCUUUACCUGCACAGGGCUCUUGUCUAAGGCCAAGUCAGCACAGUCGUUUCAUACACGAGGCCACCACUGCACACGCGUGGCUGCCAAGGCAGGAGCGUGACCCACUGAGGCCCGCCUGAGCUCACCGCGUUGUCUGUCCCCCCAGUCACAAAGCAGCCUUCGCCGGUCUCACUGAGGAGUCAGUGGAUGCGCAGCCUGAUGAGCACGGCGCUUCAGUCAAAUGUAUUCUUUUCCCUUUCCGUUGAAAUAAACCUCCCCACUGG